AUCACACGUUACAGUGGAGCUAAGACCGUCGGUUUGGUGUGCUUGCUGCUGCUGCUGCUGUUGCUGCUGGGAGUUUGGAUAAGAAGAUGGCGGAAAUUCGACCAUCAUCCUUCUCGUCGUUCUCCUACGAUUCAUUAAUCAAAAAUUGUCAUCGUUUUUAUACGAAUAAAUAAUUCCCAUAA
This 182-nucleotide long non-coding RNA is filed under the name Polistes fuscatus (common paper wasp). RNAcentral describes it as "uncharacterized LOC122513694". The record is from RNAcentral. Lineage: Eukaryota; Metazoa; Arthropoda; Insecta; Hymenoptera; Vespidae.